GACGAACGCUGGCGGCGUGCUUAACACAUGCAAGUCGAGCGGUAAGGCCCUUUCGGGGGUACACGAGCGGCGAACGGGUGAGUAACACGUGGGUGACCUGCCCUUAGCUCUGGGAUAAGCCUGGGAAACUGGGUCUAAUACCGGAUAUGACUCCAUGAUGCAUGUUGUGGGGUGGAAAGCCUUGCGCGGCUAGGGAUGGGCCCGCGGCCUAUCAGCUUGUUGGUGGGGUGAUGGCCUACCAAGGCGACGACGGGUAGCCGGCCUGAGAGGGCGACCGGCCACACUGGGACUGAGACACGGCCCAGACUCCUACGGGAGGCAGCAGUGGGGAAUCUUGCGCAAUGGGCGAAAGCCUGACGCAGCGACGCCGCGU
RNAcentral lists this ribosomal RNA (373 nucleotides) under uncultured bacterium. RNAcentral's name for it is "bacterial SSU rRNA". It matches the Rfam family "Bacterial small subunit ribosomal RNA", at positions 28 to 402 of the family's 1533-position model. The record is from RNAcentral.